This 1111-nucleotide ribosomal RNA is filed under the name Enterobacter sp. RNAcentral describes it as "bacterial SSU rRNA". It matches the Rfam family "Bacterial small subunit ribosomal RNA", at positions 348 to 1473 of the family's 1533-position model. The record is from RNAcentral. Lineage: Bacteria; Pseudomonadati; Pseudomonadota; Gammaproteobacteria; Enterobacterales; Enterobacteriaceae.
GGUGCUGCCAUGACUAUAUGCAGCCAUUUCCGGCUGGUAUGAUGAAGGCUUUCGGGUUGUAAAGUUCUUUCAGCGGGAGGAAGGCGAUGCGGUAAUAACGGCGUCGAUUGACGUUACCCGCAGAAGAAGCACCGGGCUAACUCCGUGCCAGCAGCCGCGGUAAUACGAGGGUGCAAGCGUUAAUCGGAAUUACUGGGCGUAAAGCGCACGCAGGCGGUCUGUCAAGUCGGAUGUGAAAUCCCCGGGCUCAACCUGGGAACUGCAUCCGAAACUGGCAGGCUUGAGUCUCGUAGAGGGGGGUAGAAUUCCAGGUGUAGCGGUGAAAUGCGUAGAGAUCUGGAGGAAUACCGGUGGCGAAGGCGGCCCCCUGGACGAAGACUGACGCUCAGGUGCGAAAGCGUGGGGAGCAAACAGGAUUAGAUACCCUGGUAGUCCACGCCGUAAACGAUGUCGACUUGGAGGUUGUGCCCUUGAGGCGUGGCUUCCGGAGCUAACGCGUUAAGUCGACCGCCUGGGGAGUACGGCCGCAAGGUUAAAACUCAAAUGAAUUGACGGGGGCCCGCACAAGCGGUGGAGCAUGUGGUUUAAUUCGAUGCAACGCGAAGAACCUUACCUGGUCUUGACAUCCACAGAACUUUGCAGAGAUGGAUUGGUGCCUUCGGGAACUGUGAGACAGGUGCUGCAUGGCUGUCGUCAGCUCGUGUUGUGAAAUGUUGGGUUAAGUCCCGCAACGAGCGCAACCCUUAUCCUUUGUUGCCAGCGGUCCGGCCGGGAACUCAAAGGAGACUGCCAGUGAUAAACUGGAGGAAGGUGGGGAUGACGUCAAGUCAUCAUGGCCCUUACGACCAGGGCUACACACGUGCUACAAUGGCGCAUACAAAGAGAAGCAAUCUCGCGAGAGCUAGCGGACCUCAUAAAGUGCGUCGUAGUCCGGAUUGGAGUCUGCAACUCGACUCCAUGAAGUCGGAAUCGCUAGUAAUCGUGAAUCAGAAUGUCACGGUGAAUACGUUCCCGGGCCUUGUACACACCGCCCGUCACACCAUGGGAGUGGGUUGCAAAAGAAGUAGGUAGCUUAACCUUCGGGAGGGCGCUUACCACUUUGGAUUACGGU